GUAAGAUAACCCCGAUGGUGAUGAUGAUGAUCAUUAUCAUCAUCGUCAUCGUCAUCAUCAUUC
This 63-nucleotide microRNA precursor is filed under the name Colletotrichum higginsianum. Its description in RNAcentral is "microRNA mir-598". Lineage: Eukaryota; Fungi; Ascomycota; Sordariomycetes; Glomerellales; Glomerellaceae. The record is from RNAcentral.